Long non-coding RNA from Quercus lobata, 147 nucleotides. RefSeq lists it as uncharacterized. The transcript has 2 exons. NCBI's taxonomy places the organism in Eukaryota, Viridiplantae, Streptophyta, Magnoliopsida, Fagales, Fagaceae. The record is from RefSeq and is a predicted model, not a curated record.
UGCAGAGGAGCUAUGGGAGUUGCUCAAAAAAGACAACACCUAUGUAUAUAUGUGUGGACUCAAGGGAAUGGAGAAGGGAAUUGAUGACAUAAUGGUCUCUUUGGCUGCUAAAGAUGGCAUCGAUUGGCUUGAAUACAAGAGACAAUU